RNAcentral lists this ribosomal RNA (253 nucleotides) under uncultured bacterium. RNAcentral's name for it is "partial 16S ribosomal RNA". It matches the Rfam family "Bacterial small subunit ribosomal RNA", at positions 524 to 776 of the family's 1533-position model. The record is from RNAcentral.
UACAGAGGUCCCAAGCGUUGUUCGGAUUCACUGGGCGUAAAGGGUGCGUAGGUGGUUAGGUAAGUCCGAUGUGAAAUCUCCAGGCUCAACCUGGAAAUGGCAUUGGAUACUAUCUAGCUUGAGGAGUGGAGGGGGGGACUGGAAUUCUCGUGUAGCAGUGAAAUGCGUAGAUAUCGAGAGGAACACCAGUGGCGAAGGUGAGUCCCUGGACACUUCCUGACACUGAGGCACGAAAGCCAGGGGAGCAAACGGG